GACCUUGGAACACUCAACUCUAAAUGGGAGGUCUCCAUCAAAUCCCUCCCCUCAGAGCUCAGCGAACCCCAAAGAAGAGGAGAUGGAAAGAGAGUAAGAGUCAGAGAGGAUGGACAGAGGGAUUGAAGGACACCAGGAGGACAAGGCUCUCUGAAUCAGCUGAGCUAGGAUCAUAUGAACUCAGAGACUGAAGCAGCAAGCACAGGGCCUCCUCGCGUCUGCACCGGGUCCUCAACAGGUGUACUAUGGCUUUCAGUCUAGUAUUUUUUAAUGGAACUCCUGAGCAUAUGAACAACUUCUAAAUGCCUGUGUGCUACCACGUCCAUCUGGCAACUUGAUCAUUGUGAAGCAGGACCCCUUCGUUUUCAGGCAGCUGUCUUCAAUGGAAUGCCUCUACUCACAGAAGAAGGACCCACAGACUCCUGUGCAUAUCACUGAGAGAAAGAAGACGGGUAUCGGGUGUGAAAGGCGUCUAAUCACAGCUAGCUGACACUGGGAAGAGGCAAAACUAUAAAGACUAUAAAGAGUUACACAGAUGUCAUUGAUGUUGUCCAGGCCCUGCAGACUCACCCAGACCCAAAUGUCAAGUCCUACUUCUCCAAUGGUGCUGUCACCGUGUGUGUGGAGCCCCUGAGCUGCUACAUGGAGCACAGGUAGACACGUAAGACCACCUCCAGCCCACGAUGUGGUGUGGAAGUGAACUGUAGUGAUUUCCCUCCCCACCAGACUGAGACAGGCUUUACACAGGUUUGGUUUGUGGAACACAUCAGCCUGUGGUGUAUACAGUAAGUACCCCAUGACUCUGAUUUGUAUGAAUUCCUAAAAGGGCACGGAGCAAGAUAAAGUAGAUUAUGGAAGACAGGCUUCAUUCAACUCUGUGAGAAUAGGGUCCAUAUCUUUUCAAUGCUUGGGUUCAAUCCCAAAUACUUCAAAGAAAAGAGGAGAAGGAAAAGAGGUGAGGUUGGGGGGAAGGCAACUGUGAAGAGCCUCAGACCCAGGCAAGCUUCUAAAGGCUUCCUCCUUUCACAGCUAUUAGCGACUCAAGUGCCCUCAUGCUCCCCCCCCCCGAACCUGCAUUUUCAGAUAAUAAACUCAAAAUAGAGAAGACAGAGCUGUCUCAUUGAGUCCUAUCAAGGUCUAUUGUUCUCCCAGAUGCCCCAUAUCCAGAAAAGCCCUUGGGACCUUUUAAACACCUACUCCAGCCAGAAAUACUAGAAAAUAUAAUGGAGUUAUGCACAUGGUACACACCU
Molecule: non-coding RNA, 1250 nt
Organism: Myodes glareolus (Bank vole)
Lineage: Eukaryota; Metazoa; Chordata; Mammalia; Rodentia; Cricetidae
Source: RefSeq, a predicted model, not a curated record